UACAGAGGGGGCAAGCGUUGUUCGGAAUUACUGGGCGUAAAGGGCGCGUAGGCGGCCUGUUAAGUCGAACGUGAAAUCCCCGGGCUCAACCCGGGAACUGCGUCCGAUACUGGCAGGCUUGAAUCCGGGAGAGGGUAGCAGAAUUCAUGGUGUAGCAGUGAAAUGCGUAGAUAUCAUGAGGAAUACCAGAGGCGAAGGCGGCUACCUGGACAAUUGCUGACGCUCAGGCACGAAAGCGUGGGGAGCAAAAGGG
Molecule: ribosomal RNA, 253 nt
Filed under: uncultured bacterium
Lineage: Bacteria
Description: partial 16S ribosomal RNA
Rfam family: Bacterial small subunit ribosomal RNA
Source: RNAcentral